This 447-nucleotide ribosomal RNA is filed under the name uncultured bacterium. Its description in RNAcentral is "partial 16S ribosomal RNA". It matches the Rfam family "Bacterial small subunit ribosomal RNA", at positions 29 to 523 of the family's 1533-position model. The record is from RNAcentral.
AACGAACGCUGGCGGCAGGCCUAACACAUGCAAGUCGAGCGCGUAGCAAUACGAGCGGCGCACGGGAUAGUAACGCGUGGGAACCUACCUUUCGGUUCGGAAUAACACCGGGAAACUGGUGCUAAUACCGGAUACGCCCUUCGGGGGAAAGAUUUAUUGCCGAUAGAUGGGCCCGCGGUGGAUUAGCUAGUUGGUGAGGUAACGGCUCACCAAGGCAACGAUCCAGAGCUGGUCUGAGAGGAUGAUCAGCAUAACUGGGACUGAGACACGGCCACGAAUCCGUCGGGAGGCACCAGUAGGGCAUAUUGGGCAAUGGGGGCAAUCCUCAUCCCGCCAUGCCGGGUGAAUGAUGAAGGCCUGCGGGUUGUGAAGUUCUUUUAGUGGGUACGAUGAUGACGGUACCCACAGAAUAAGCUCCGGCUAACUUUGUGCCAGCCGCCGCGGUAA